This is a long non-coding RNA of Monomorium pharaonis (pharaoh ant), 2769 nucleotides long. RefSeq lists it as uncharacterized. Lineage: Eukaryota; Metazoa; Arthropoda; Insecta; Hymenoptera; Formicidae. The transcript has 5 exons. The record is from RefSeq and is a predicted model, not a curated record.
CACACACACACACACACACACACACACACAAAACCAAUAAAAAUCAAAUUUAAAUUUAAACUUAUACUCAUCAAGGCUGAUGGCCAAACCAGCAAAAUCAGUUAAACAAUAACAAACCGAAAUACUAAACUAGAAAAGUUAGUUAAAUAAUAAUAAUAAUCAAAAAUAUCAUUUAACAAGAGCAUAAAAAUACAUUUCUCAUAUAAAAAACACUUUGCAAAGAUUCAUUUUGCAAUUAAUUAUUAUAAAUAAAUUAUUAAAAAUUAAGUUUAGAAGAAAACUGAUUUCAAUCAAUUCUACGGAAAAGAUUAUAAGAUAAUGUAUAGCUUUUUCUUAAAUUAUUGAAAUUUGUUCUUGCUUAUGGUUGAACCAGCAAAGUUAAUUAACCAAUAAAAUCAGAAAUAAAACAGGAGCAUAAAACAAUUUCUUAAAAAAGCAUUUCGCAAAAAUCAGGAAAAAUUAUCAUUUACAGGAAAAAUGAUCAAAAAAACAUUUGUAACUUUUAGCUGACUAAUUUGGCCAUUGGCUUUAAUUUAUUAUAAUUUGCGUAACUCCAUAUUAAUUGUUACAAGAUACGUAGAAAGACUAAAGAGAGAUGCAUAAUCAUUUUGCUAAAUUUAUUCAAGUAUGUAAGCUAUGCAGAUUUAUAGAAUUUUUCUCAAAGAAACUUUUAAACCUAUUGGAAAAUCGUUGUUAUUAAUAUAUAACAUUUUCAUUUUUAACAGAAUUGAGAUCUUAAAGUUUAAUAUACAAUCUUCUAAUGUUUGCAAAAAUCAUAUCUAUAGGAUAUCCAUUCGAAAGAAGAAUAUUUAUGAUUUUGUGGAUCAAUUUUUUGGUGGAACAUGAGGUAUAAAAGAAAGAGAACUUUAUCAAUUGGAUUAAUACGAGUAAUUAUCUGUUUUUUUGCAAUUAAGAAUAAGGAAAAAAAUUUUAAUAAUGGUUCAAGUAAGUUGAUUUUUUAUAUUAAUUAUUAAAUAAUUGCCUUGUUUAUUAAAUAUAACAUUCAAAAAGUUCAAACGCUUAUCACCAACAUCAAUUGUAAAUUUUAAUUAAGAGUGGUUUAAAUUGUAUUUAUUUUUAAAUGUGUUUCCACAUUUAAAAAAGAAGUUAUAGGUGUAAAGUAAAUUUUUUAAGUGUAGAAGAUUCCAAAUCCUGUAAAAUUAAGUGUGUUGCUACAGAGAAUAGAGAGCCUAUAGGACAUCAAAUGUUUGUUUAUAACACUUGUCAUUAAACAUAAAAAAGUAGAGCGGAAAAGUAAUUUUAAUUGCAUCAAUAAAUACAUGUUUUGGUAAUUCAGUAUAUAUAAUUCAAUAAAAUUAUGUCAUUUUAAACGGUGUGAAGUUGUCUAUAUUGUAAAAAGUUGUCGCAGUCAAUCGCAAUUCAGUUUUUUUCCAAACUAUGCAUACAGAUAAUUGUCGAGAACUAAUUAUACACAUGAUUUUUACUAGGAACAUGUAAUGAUAUUGGACAAAGAGAAAAGUUUGACCAAAAGAUUAAUGCUGACAUGAUACACGUUAAAAAAACAAGACAAUGGUCUUCACAUGCAAUAUGAUGUGGGUGCGUUCGAAAAUACAUUUAGUUGGCAUUGGGAAGAAAAGUUGGCAGUAUUGAUAAUUCCUAGGUGCUGCGUUUCGUGUCUCCCAACGUGUCCCAACUGACAAGAAACUAAAGUAAAUUGAAUUACUUGUAGUGCUGAAAGAGGUCCUUUUUUGCAACAUUGCUAUUACAUAAAAGAAAUGGAAUCUAAUCAAUCCAGCAAUGCUUCGCUUAUUACUAAACGUAAUCAAUUUCAACAAUUUAAGAGGUUAACAUUGAUUGAUGAGUUAUCAAAUGUAGAAUAUGUAAUAGAAGUAGAAGAAGAAGAUAUAUAUAUUAUAAUCGUGCUUUUGAAGAUAUUACAUUUGCUACUAUGCUCCUAGAAAAAGCAAAAACAUUUUCAAAUAGCAAACAUGGUUCUACUUCGAUAACAAUUAAUAAAUCCAGUUGUUCAAAUACAGUUCAUAAUAAACUUAAUUGUUCAAAAACAGUUAAUAGUAAGCCCAGUUGUUCAAAAACAAGUACUGUAGUUCAAUUUGACGACAAUUUGACAACCUCGGAUAUUGAAAAUUGUGAUCAAGAUGAAACAAAUAUGUCAAAUUUAGAACAAAAUGAUGAUAAAUGGUCUUACAAAGCAACACUUCUUCUUAUAUCCUUAUAUAAAGAAAAUGUAUAUAUGUUGGAAAAAAUGCAUUAAAAAAAAUGUGGAUAAAAAUUUCUGAAUGUAUGCAGCAAAAAAAUUUAAAUUUACAGUGACUCAAUUAUAUAAUAAAAUGGAUCGUUAAAAAGACGAUAUCGUUAAAUUAUUGAUUAUAACGCACAAAGCAGAUAUAUGCAGAUAAUAACCGAAAAGAAUGGGUCUAAUUAGAAGUAAUAAAUUCUAAUAAAAUUAACAUUCAGAAUUAUACAAAUUUUUUAAUUUAGUUAUAAAAAAUAAGAUUUUUUAAAUUAAAAAAAUAUAUAUAAUAAGGCAAAUGAUUGAUGUAUUUAAAUACGUGUGUUUUAGUUAUUAGAUGAGAUCUUUUACAAUAAACCGUGGAUAAAACCUUUAUCCGUAGCAGGAUCAAAUAUUCAAGAACCUAACAAAUCUUUAUUUGAUGAUGAUAAAACUGAGUUACCAACCAAACAAAGAAAAAUUUUAUUAAAUGAAGAAAAAGUUCAUUAUUUGCAAGCAUCACUGGAAGAAAAGAGAUUAAAAAGACAGGAAGUUAAUGAUUAUAGAGAAAAAAAAAA